ACGACCUUACUUGAACAGGAUCUGUUCUAUAGGAAUCGUACCGUUGCAUCCUUGACUAAUAAGGAGGCAAGCACUCAAGCUUGGUUGAUGACAACAGACCUGAUCAGAGUUUGAUGAUCCUACGGCCGUAGAGGAUCGUUCCUGUUAAGCUCUUGCCGACCAGGGUGGCUCUCAGGUUGUCUGACAGGCU
RNAcentral lists this small nucleolar RNA (190 nucleotides) under Hordeum vulgare subsp. vulgare (domesticated barley). Its description in RNAcentral is "Plant small nucleolar RNA U3". It matches the Rfam family "Plant small nucleolar RNA U3". Rfam says of the family: Small nucleolar RNAs (snoRNAs) are involved in the processing and modification of rRNA in the nucleolus. There are two main classes of snoRNAs: the box C/D class, and the box H/ACA class. U3 snoRNA is a member of the box C/D class. Lineage: Eukaryota; Viridiplantae; Streptophyta; Magnoliopsida; Poales; Poaceae. The record is from Rfam by way of RNAcentral.